GAAGGUUGGGUAACACUAACUGGAGGACCGAACCGACUAAUGUUGAAAAAUUAGCGGAUGACCUGUGGCUGGGGGUGAAAGGCCAAUCAAACCGGGAGAUAGCUGGUUCUCCCCGAAAGCUAUUUAGGUAGCGCCUCGUGAAUUCAUCUCCGGGGGUAGAGCACUGUUUCGGCUAGGGGGCCAUCCCGGCUUACCAACCCGAUGCAAACUGCGAAUACCGGAGAAUGUUAUCACGGGAGACACACGGCGGGUGCUAACGUCCGUCGUGAAGAGGGAAACAACCCAGACCGCCAGCUAAGGUCCCAAAGUCAUGGUUAAGUGGGAAACGAUGUGGGAAGGCCCAGACAGCCAGGAUGUUGGCUUAGAAGCAGCCAUCAUUUAAAGAAAGCGUAAUAGCUCACUGGUCGAGUCGGCCUGCGCGGAAGAUGUAACGGGGCUAAACCAUGCACCGAAGCUGCGGCAGCGAACGUAUCACUUAAAGCGAUUCAGCGGGUUACGAUUGACGGAGCGAAGCGACGUCAAAGCGUAUACAA
This 533-nucleotide ribosomal RNA is filed under the name Salmonella enterica subsp. enterica serovar Agona. RNAcentral's name for it is "partial 23S ribosomal RNA". It matches the Rfam family "Bacterial large subunit ribosomal RNA", at positions 747 to 1256 of the family's 2925-position model. Lineage: Bacteria; Pseudomonadati; Pseudomonadota; Gammaproteobacteria; Enterobacterales; Enterobacteriaceae. The record is from RNAcentral.